AAAUUGACUGCACUAAUAAAAAUAUAAGACCUCAAAAAUAAUUAUAAUUAGUCAUCCUACACUCAAAUAGUCAUUUGAAAUUAGUCUUCUAUAAUUAGGACAACCAUAUGCCUGAUUUGCC
Herpailurus yagouaroundi (jaguarundi) is the source of this 121-nucleotide long non-coding RNA. RefSeq lists it as uncharacterized. The transcript is spliced from 3 exons. The record is from RefSeq and is a predicted model, not a curated record. Lineage: Eukaryota; Metazoa; Chordata; Mammalia; Carnivora; Felidae.